GUCCACGCCCUAAACGAUGCGAACUGGACGUUGGGAGCAAUUAGGCUCUCAGUGUCGAAGCUAACGCGUUAAGUUCGCCGCCUGGGGAGUACGGUCGCAAGACUGAAACUCAAAGGAAUUGACGGGGGCCCCGCACAAGCGGUGGAGUAUGUGGUUUAAUUCGAUGCAACGCGAAGAACCUUACCUGGCCUUGACAUCCACGGAAGUCUGCAGAGAUGCGGAUGUGCCUUCGGGAACCGUGAGACAGGUGCUGCAUGGCUGUCGU
Molecule: ribosomal RNA, 265 nt
Filed under: uncultured bacterium
Lineage: Bacteria
Description: partial 16S ribosomal RNA
Rfam family: Bacterial small subunit ribosomal RNA
Source: RNAcentral